Molecule: small nuclear RNA, 104 nt
Filed under: Leptobrachium leishanense (Leishan spiny toad)
Lineage: Eukaryota; Metazoa; Chordata; Amphibia; Anura; Megophryidae
Description: U2 spliceosomal RNA (ENSLLEG00000026568.1)
Rfam family: U2 spliceosomal RNA
About the family: U2 is a small nuclear RNA (snRNA) component of the spliceosome (involved in pre-mRNA splicing). Complementary binding between U2 snRNA (in an area lying towards the 5' end but 3' to hairpin I) and the branchpoint sequence (BPS) of the intron results the bulging out of an unpaired adenosine, on the BPS, which initiates a nucleophilic attack at the intronic 5' splice site, thus starting the first of two transesterification reactions that mediate splicing.
Source: Rfam by way of RNAcentral
AUCGCUUCUCGGCCUUUUGGCUAAGAUCAAGUAUAGUAUGCACCAAAACAGCACAUUGUAUAAAAGCAAUUUUUUUUUUUUUUUUUUUAUUGUAAUAAACUGUU